CAACUGUUGGCCUCAAAUAAAAUAAUUCUUUAAAAAAAAUUAGAUUAAAAAAAAGUUGAGAGACAUGGAUCUGGCCCCAACAUGGCAAAAAUGGUUAAACCACACUGACCAGACUUCUGCAAGUCUCCCCUCGCCCCUUCCCUUAUAACCAUGACCUGACUCUGCAAAUCUACAACCUGAAAGGAAGUUGCAUUUGAAGUUCCAUAAGGUGAAAAGUAGGGCACCAAAUAGAGUGAGAAAUCAAAGGAGGCAAAAUUUAAGGAGACAGUCUGUCUCGGUUUUGCCCAAAGGUGAACAAAUUAUUAUUCUUAACCGUAGAAAACAUGGCUAUAAACUGUACUUGAAAAAAGGUGAAAGGAAUAGAAAAGUAUAUUGAGUUUGGUUAAAAUUUAAAAGAAGUUUUUAAAAAAUUAGUUUGUCCACAUAAUUUCAGUGAGUAGAAAAGACCCGGAAAUCAAUUGUUUUAAGUUUACCUGUGAUCUUUAGUGAUGACUUAGCCAUAUUGAACUUAUCUCUUCCUCAUGUUUAAAAGGUAAAUAAAAAGUAAAUGAUUAGACCUUUUGUAGUCAGUUGUUUUUCAGAGAAUUGCUAGUCAAUGCAGAGAAUCACGUCCACCUCGGGGCGGUUUCUGUCAUCAACUUUUGAUCCCUUCAAAGCAAGGUGAGUGAGUGGUACCCUUCAGACGAGCACAUGAAAGGUGAAAUCUUUUCUAGAGCGUUCCAUGGUGUGCUUGCGGGAGCCCCGGGGCACAGAGAUCUGCAGAAGAGCUAUGUGGGAAGGUCACACUGUGGCUACUGGUCAUGUAACUUACUGUACCUUAUUAGAUUGGUGCAUUUCUUUAUCCAUCAUGUGACCAAUCUGGGUUGGAAUGGACCCUUUAAAGAAUGAGUCAACACGGAAGAUUCUGCGGACCCAUUUAUUGUCGUGUAUUGAGUAUCCUCUGGAGACACGUUCAUUAACUUCGGAACUAUUUCUUGGAUAUCACACUGUGCUAAGGUGCUAUGGAAACAUAGAUGAAAGAUGUCGUUCUUAACCAGAUCCUCACUGCUGGGUCUGAUUCCGCAGUUCUCUGGCAGCUAGAGUGAGCACAUGAGCCACGUGUAAGCCGCGACUCCUGCCCUCCGCUGCAGUAAGUCCCUGGGAUGAAGGAUUCUCAGAGGACGGCGGUGUCUAUGCCUCAUUCAGCUUUGCAUCUCCAGCAUCUGCCUUCCUGCCCAGCACGGAGUGACUGGGUGCUCUGACCGGCCCCACUCAAGGCAGAGCCCUGUUCUAGACGCCGAUGUCUGCCUGACAAUGCUCAGACACAGAACCCUCUCUACCACUCUGGCAGCCCAUCCCGUUGCCGAAUCGCUCUAGCUGCAAUCACGUUUUUCCUUUAUAUCGAGUCAACCUCUGCCUGCUCCGAAACCUCACCAACAGACCCAGAUUCUGCCCUCAGGAGCUAUGCAGACUAAAUCAGCCGCACAGACUAAACCCUGACCUGUUCGUUGGACGUUAGGUAUUUAGUGACGUCUACACUGUUUCCUGGUCUGCUUCUCUGGCCUCCAUUGUCCCUGUUCCAUCAGUUGCUUCUAGAGUUCUCACUUUGCUUCUCGUGAGUCUUGCUUCUCCUGUAGCAGUUGCUAUGCAGGAUUGGGGGAAGGUCCUCCUUCCUACCAUUGCCCAGAGUACUUUGCGUCUGGCAUUUUAAGCUCUCUUCCCAAGAUGCUCACCACCAGCGGAAGUAUAGAACAGCUCAGGACUGAGGACACAGCUGUUCCUGCCAGCAGAGACUCUCCAAGUCGACUUUGACCCAUUACUCAACAGAACGUUCAACUUUAACUGACAGACAUCCCAGUUGACAAUGUUCCUUCAAGAACCCCAUGAAGUAGGAAUCAUCACCAUCAUUUUGCAGAUGGAGAAACUGAGACACAGCUAGUUGAUGGAUAACGAGUUCGAAAGACCUCUCGGCAUAUCAUCGUGGUCAUGAGAAGAAAAAUGGAGGUUGAUACAACUUUACACCUGAUGUUCUGAAGACCGUCAAUCUGAAGAGAGAAUUUUAGUGGCAAAAUCCAAAAGUAGACUUCUAUAUUUUUGGUCAGCAUUUUUAUUCACGGUUUAGAGGAAAAUCUUAGGCCUUAGCCAAGACAGCAUACACACACGAAGUGGACAGGCACAGACAAGAGUGGAUGACUGAAGUGGAGGAUCUCAAAACAUUGUAACAGGCUGGACCACUGGACCGAACUGGACAAGAGGCAAUUUAUUAGGGAUGAAUACAAAGCCCAUCACCCCAAAGUGCUCACCAGUUCUUCCUGAGUCAAGGGGUGACCUGGUGCAGCCUCGGGAAGACACUUAUAGAGUAGUGCUUAACAACAGAAAUAUAAUGUGAACUUUAUGUAAUAUAAAAUUUUCUAUUAGCCACAUUUCUAAAAGAAUGAAAAACCCUCAGGUGAAUUUUAAUAAUAUAUUGUUUUUAAUGCUAUAUUUUACUGAAUACUCGAAAUACUACUAAACAUGUGAUUGAUGUAAAAACUGAGAUGUUUUAUGUUUUUUGCACUAAAUUUUGAAAACCCAGUGUGCAUUUCACACUUGAUAGCACCUCUCAAUUAGGCUAGCCACAUACGGAGUGCUCAGCAGCCCGGUGUGGCUCCCAUCCUGAACGGUGUGGCUUUAGUGUCUGCACUGCCUCUCAGCUCUUCAGACAUUACCCUCUCAUCAUGCCAUUCUUGGGCUGGCUGCACUAAAGUUAAACCACUCAAGCAUUUCACUUUAUUUUUUUAAUGAAAAAAGUCUGGGCUCCUUAAUCAGUACAUAGCUGUAAUGGUGCUCACCCCUUGAUUAUGCUCGCUGGGGCAAUUUGGUGACUGAAAUACUUGAUGUAUUUUUUUAAAGUGA
This is a long non-coding RNA of Tupaia belangeri chinensis (Chinese tree shrew), 2874 nucleotides long. RefSeq lists it as uncharacterized. The transcript has 4 exons. NCBI's taxonomy places the organism in Eukaryota, Metazoa, Chordata, Mammalia, Scandentia, Tupaiidae. The record is from RefSeq and is a predicted model, not a curated record.